AUACCCGUUGAUCCUGCGGGAGAUUGCUGCUAUCAGGAUUCGAUUAAGCCAUGCAUGUCACGGGGUCGCAAGACACCGGCAAAAUGCUCAGUAACACGUCGAUAAUCUGCCCUUUAGUCUGGGACAACCUUGGGAAACUGAGGCUAAACCCGGAUGGGAAAUAAUCCCUGGAAUGGGUCUUUUCCGAAAAGCAAUGCUGAAGGAUGAGUUGGCGGCGGAUUAGGUAGUUGGUGAGGUAAAGGCUCACCAAGCCAAAGAUCCGUAGGGGCCCUGAAAGGGGGAGCCCCGAGAAGGACACUGAGAUACUGGUCCUAGCCCUACGGGGUGCAGCAGGCGCGAAAACUCCACACUGCACGCAAGUGUGAUGGGGGAAUCCUGAGUGCUUAUGUUUUACAUAGGCUUUUGCCAAGAGUAAAAAUCUUGGCGAAUAAGUGGUGGGCAAGACUGGUGCCAGCAGCCGCGGUAACCCCAGCGCCACAAGUGGCAAUCGCUAUUAUUGGGCUUAAAGCGUCCGUAGCCGGCUUGGUAAAUUUCUUGUGAAAUUGUCCUGCUUAACAGGACAACGUGCAGGGAACACUGCCAAGCUCGGGACCGGGAGGAGUCAGAGGUAUGCUGGGGGGAGCGGUAAAAUGUGAUAAUCCCCAGUGGACCACCUGUGGCGAAGGCGUCUGACUAGAACGGAUUCGACGGUGAGGGACGAAAGCCAGGGGAGCAAAACGGAUUAGAUACCCGAGUAGUCCUGGCCGUAAACGCUGCAAACUAGGUGUUGCGCAAGCUAUAUGCUUGUGCAGUACCGGAGCGAAAGUGUUAAGUUUGCCGCCUGGGAAGUACGGUCGCAAGACUGAAACUUAAAGGAAUUGGCGGGGGAGCACUACAAGGGGUGCGGCGUGCGGUUUAAUCUAAUUCUACACAGAGAAUCUCACCAGAGGCGACGGCAGGAUGAUGGUCAAGCUGACGACUUUACCAGACAAGCCGAGAGGUAGUGCAUGGCCGCCGUCAGCUCGUGCUGUAAAGUGUCCUGUUAAGUCAGGCAACGAGCAAGAUCUGCAUCCACCAUUGCAAACAGGUCCUUUAGGAUGACUGUGCACAUUGUGGGGACUGCCCUGGAAACAGGGAGGAAGGUGCAGGCUACGGUAGGUCUGUAUGCUCCGAAUCUUCUGGGCUACACGCGCGCAACAAUGGUAUGGACAAUGGGCUGCAACACCGAAAGGUGAAGCUAAUCCUCGAAACCGUACCCAAGUACAGAUUGAGGGUUGUAAUUCACCCUCAUGACGUUGGAAUCCCUAGUAAUCGGACGUUAUCAGCGUCCAGUGAAUAUGUCCCUGCUCCUUGCACACACCGCCCGUCAAACCACUCGAGCAGGGCUCAAGUGAGGCUCAACCAUCUUGGUCGUUCCGAACUUGAGUUCAGUGAGAAGGGUUAAGUCGUCACAAGGUAGCCGUAGGGGAACCUGCGGCUGGAUCACCUCCU
Molecule: ribosomal RNA, 1470 nt
Filed under: Candidatus Woesearchaeota archaeon
Lineage: Archaea; Nanobdellati; Candidatus Woesearchaeota
Description: bacterial SSU rRNA
Rfam family: Archaeal small subunit ribosomal RNA
Source: RNAcentral